This 373-nucleotide long non-coding RNA is filed under the name Nicotiana benthamiana. RNAcentral's name for it is "long non-coding RNA (NBEN_LNC015864)". Lineage: Eukaryota; Viridiplantae; Streptophyta; Magnoliopsida; Solanales; Solanaceae. The record is from RNAcentral.
CAUUGAAGAGUUUGAGCACUUGUAUUUUGAUUGCCCAGUUACCAGUAGGAUUUGGUCCAGGAUUUGUUGCUGGCUGGGCUACAAUAAAAGAAUUGGUUGUUGGAAGAAUGAGUUGACAUGGAUAUGCUGCAAUGCUAGGAGUAAACAAUUUAAAAAGGUUGUGAUAGCCAGUGCUUUUGUUACUACUGUAUCAUUGAUUUGGAGAUGCGGGAAUGCUAUUAGAUUUGAGAAGAAACCAUUUGAUGACAAUCUUGUGUGCCGAGAGAUUGCAUUUCUUAUUCAUGCACGUGGCAGAAGAUGCAAGAAAUGGUUAAAGGGGCUGCGACAACUUAAUUACUAUCCCUAGUUCCUAGUUUGAUUUGUAAUAGCAGUG